AAGGUUUGUUUCUCUUUGAUGUGAAUAGCUGCUGCAUCUCUCUCCAAAUUCCUGCUUCUGAUCACCAAGAAACUUUGUUUUGAAUAUUUUUCAUAUUCAAAUAGGAAUUUUAUUCAUGACCUCAAGGGUAGUGUUCUGGCCAUUCUUUGGCAUACAUGUUUUUCUGCUCUUGUCUUUUCCUGGCUUGCACGUUCCUUGCUUUUCUGCUGAAGCCACCUCUAGGAUUGCCAGGAAUGAGACAGAUCAACUGGCUCUGGUCGAAUUCAAGACCCAUAUAACCGAUGACCCUCUUGGUGUUUUGAGAUCGUGGAAUAACUCAAUACAUUUCUGCCAAUGGCAUGGCGUUCUUUGCGGUCGCCGGCAUCAAAGGGUCAUUGCAUUGGAUUUAGGGUCCUAUAAACUAGCCGGGUACAUAUCACCUCAUGUCGGAAAUUUAAGCUUCUUGAGACUUUUAGAUCUAACAAACAACAGUCUUAGCCAAGAAAUACCACCAGAAUUAGGCAAUCUAUCAAGGCUAAAAUACUUGUAUCUAAAUAACAAUUCGCUCAGUGGCGAAAUUCCUUCCAAUGUUUCCUUUUGCUUCAACCUCGUUCACUUUCUUGUUAAUUGGAACCUGCUGGUAGGGAAAAUUACUGGCUCUAUUCCUUUUACAAUAUCUAAUGCAACAAAUCUGGAAUACCUUGCAAGCAACGGCAACAAACAUACUGGAUCAUUGCCUACUUUAGAAAGGUUGAAUAGGCUAGGGUUCUUAAGCUUAAGCUCCAACCAUCUUGGAAGUGGAAGAACUAGUGAUUUGGACUUUUUGCGGUCUUUGCUCAAUGCCACUUACCUAGAGAUCUUGGCUCUAAAUGAUAACAACUUUGGUGGGAUGUUUCCUGAAUUUAUUGGGAACUUCACUUGGCUUAGAAUUUUGUUUCUAGAUGGCAAUAGAAUAUCUGGAAGCAUCCCAAAUGGGAUACAGAAUCUUGUCAACCUGGAAAUAAUGGAGCUGUGGGAGAACCAAAUAUCAGGUGCUAUCCCCCCUGAGAUUGGACAUCUUCAACAGCUAAAUAGGCUAAGGCUGGCGAGAAACAGAUUAUCAGGUAACAUUCCGUCCUCUCUAGGGAAUCUGACCAGUUUAACUUCUCUUUAUUUGGGACAAAAUAAUCUCCAAGGUAGUAUCCCCUCAAGUUUAGGCUUAUGCAAGAAUUUGCUUGAAUUGGAUCUUUCUCUAAACAAUCUGAGUGGCACCAUACCCAAAGAACUUGUCAGCCUGUCAGCGUUAUCCAUUUUUAUGAAUUUGUCUCACAACCUCUUGAACGGUUCCCUUCCAGAAGAAGUUGGAAAUUUGAAAAACUUAGGUGCUUUGGAUGUCUCUGAUAACAUGUUAUCUGGUGAAAUUCCUACAAGUCUUGGCAGCUGCGUUUCAUUGGAAUUCCUACGCAUGCAAAGAAACUUCUUAUCAGGGGAAUUGCCUUCAUCUUUGAGGUCUUUGAAAGGCAUUCGGAUGUUAGAUCUUUCUCGCAACAAUUUAACUGGCCAACUCCCAAAAUUUCUCGAGCAGUUCGACUUGCAGUACUUGAAUCUGUCUUUCAAUGAUUUCGAUGGUGAGAUGCUCCUACAAGGUGUCUUCAAGAAUGCAAGCGUGGUUUCAGUACAAGGGAACAGUAGGCUCUGUGGGGGUGUUCCAGAACUACAGUUACCGCCUUGCAAGUUUCAGAAUUCCACUAAAGGGAGACUGGCCCUUAUGUUCAAGAUAAUAAUCUCUGUUGUGUUUGGGGUCCUAGGAGUAACUACUCUGUUGUCUACAGUAUACUUCUGCUGGUUAAGGAAGAAAGGAAAGGGACCUGUUUUGAGCAAUUCAGAAAACUUGACUUUUAGACUUUCUUAUCAAAGUCUCGUUGCUGCUACUGAUGGGUUUUCUUCAGCUCAUUUGAUUGGAGAAGGCAGCUUUGGGUCUGUGUAUAAAGGAGUGAUCGACGAGUUGGGAACUACAGUUGCCAUCAAAGUACUCAACCUUCUUCGACGAGGAGCUUCCAAGAGUUUUGCAGCCGAGUGUGAGGCCUUGAGAAACAUAAGGCAUCGCAACCUUGUCAAGAUACUGACAGCAUGUUCUGGUGUUGAUUACAAAGGUAAUGACUUCAAGGCUUUGAUUUAUGAGUUUAUGGUCAAUGGCAGCCUAGAGAAGUGGCUACAUCCAACUCCCAUAACAGAUGAGGUGAAUGAGGCACCAAGGAGCUUAAAUCUUCUUCAGAGACUAAACAUUGCGAUUGAUGUUGCUUCUGCACUGGAAUAUCUUCACAAUGACUGCCAACCACCUGUAGUUCAUUGUGAUCUCAAACCAAGCAAUAUUCUUCUAGAUGAGGAUAUGACUGCACAUGUUGGUGACUUUGGAAUAGCCAGAAUCCUUCCAGAAGCAGCCAUGGACUUGUCCAAUAAUGUGACCAGCAGCUCUAUUGGAGUAAGAGGAACUACGGGAUAUACAGCUCCAGGUAUAUACUAGAUGCCAUUCUUUAGCUUCUUAUCUCAUUUAGUUACAUCUUCAUUUUAAAUUUGAACCUUAAAAAGAUUUCAUAUUAUGCUGUGCAAGCAUUAGUAAGAGCUGUAACCCUUCACAUUCCUUUAAGUUCUAACUGUUUGCUUAGAACUGUAACCAAGACAUGCUUUCUUGAAAUUGCAGAAUAUGGUAUGGGAAAUGAGGUGUCAACAUAUGGUGAUGUUUACAGCUACGGAGUCCUUCUGUUGGAGAUGUUCACUGGAAAGAGACCUACAAAUGACAUGUUCAAUGACAGUUUGAGCCUUAGCACGUUUGUUAAGGCAGCUCUGCCUAUGCAAGUCUUAGAAAUUGCAGAUCCAAUACUUGUUCAAGAAGUGGAAGGAGAGACAAGUGUAAACACUCCUCACGGUCACAGAAUCCAGGAGUGCUUGGCUUCAAUAUUUACAAUCGGAGUUGCUUGUUCUGAGGAAAUUCCAAGAGAAAGAAAGGGCAUCAGUAAUUUGUUACUGAACUGCAUUCAAUCAGAAAACUCUGAUGAAACUGAGAGGGGUGGCAGAGAAACCGAGAAGUAAUAUUUCCAGUUACAGGUGACUGACAUGUUAUCUUGUUUUACAGUACUAAAGGUUCCUGAUUAGAUUUACUUCUUUUACCAAUAUUACUCCAUUUAUAUGAAUUUUGUUUUUUUACCCUCAUUUCAGGUUGCACGAAGUAGAUAUUCCUUCUGCAGAUUCAAGCAGCAGCAGCAGCAGCAGCAAUAAUAAUAAUAAUAAUAAUGAGUGUUAUUCUGUUUUAAUUCCAACUACUAGCACUUUUCUUUCCUUGCUGAAAUGCUUGAAUCUUAAUGUUUUCAUGUUUUGUUUAUCUGGUGUGUGCAAAUUACUUGUCAAACUCGUUACAUAAAAUUACUAUCAUUUGUUAUUAUGUCAUGAUAAAAAAAUAAUAAUAAUAAUAAAAACCAAGAAAACAUAUCCUCGUACCUACUAUUUUGAAGGUAUUGUCGGAAUAUAUUAUAUUAUAUUUGACUAGUGAAAAAAAAUAUUUAGUUAUUAUAAUAUAAAUAUUAAAAAUUAUCCAAUGUAAGUCUAGAAUGCAUAUAAUUUUAAAUUUAUAAACAUAUAAAAACAAACAUAUUUUUAACAUAAAAUAAAAAAAAAAUAAAACACAUACUAAGUAUGUAUUCAAUUUUUAUGUCUUUUCAUCAGGGGUUCUUAUUUGUAUAUUCUUAUUCUGUGUUUUAUCAAACUCUUAUUUGUAGAGACAACAUAGCUUUUAUUUAUUGAAGCUAUAAAUAUUUUAAUUUAUUUGUUAUGAUAUUCAUAAAUGGUUAAUAAUAUUAUAAAUAUUUAAUUGCAAUAUAUAUAAAUUAAAGUUUUGGCAUGCAUUCUAAUAAUAAUGCUCAAAUUAAAACAAAAAAAAAAACUUUUAUUAUUGUCAAUGAUGUAUCAAUUGUCCUUAUAAGGCUUUAUUGAUUUGAAAGAAAAAAUCAAAAUAUAAAAGAAAAUGAAAAUAUUAAAAAUAAAAUGAGAAAGAUUGUGAAAAAAUCUAAAAAAAAUUAAGAUAAAAACUCUUUCAUCCUUUCUUUAUAGUAAAUUUUGAGAGUUAAAAAAGUUAAAAAAACAUUUAAUAAGAAUUAAUUCAUACUAUUAUUAAAUUAGCCAGAAUUAAAUCUAGAAAAAUCAUGAAUAUUUUAAAAUUAAUUUCUAAUUCAUCCAUAAUUUAUUCAAAUAUGUUAAUUAAAUAAAUUUGCAACAUAAAUAACAAAAAUUAACUUUAAAACUGUCAUGAAAACUGAUUUUUUUAUGUAUCUAUUUUCAUCUCUCCAAGUAACCAUGUAUAUAUCUCAUAAGUCCUGAAAGAGUAACUAAACCGCAAGAUGCUUUCCUUUAAUCCUUACCCUUUUUUUCUCUUUAAAACAAAUGGUUGAUCCUGACCUUUUCCUUAACUUUCUUGUGCAAUAUUGACAUUUAGAUGGUAGCCUUCACUCGUCUUCCAUGUGACUUGUGUAUUAAAACAGUGUGUUUUCAAAGAAAAUUUGGCAUCGAGAAUAAUCUAAGACAUUUAAGAUCAAAUAUUAAAUUUAAUAGAUCUGUAACCUAAUUGAACAUUUAGCAUAGAUUAGGGACUAAAUUAGGUUUCCUUGUGAUAAUGAAAGUGAGGCAGAGACGAAACUUCCUGCCGACCCUCCACUCGUCUUCCAUGUGACUUCUUUUCUUUUCUUUUAAGAUGGGGACCCGCCUUGGCAUCUUCCUUGUUCAUUCAUUCAUGAAGGCCUACCAGGAAAUUGCCUGACAGGUCCUGGAAAGAGGCUUGCGAAGUUGCAUGACAACUUCCUAGCAAUUCCUCAGUUCUUGAAUGUUUCUCUCUGUAUAUAUACCAGACUCGGCAAAACUUGGCCAAAUCCACGCGGGAAGGUAAAGUCGGUUUGAAAUAAAAAAUGGGGGCGAUGCAAAUAUUUGAUGUCCGAGACAAGCUGAGAAGAAAAGAAGACGCAAGAUCAUUAUGUCCAUGCUGUGGAGGGCCAGUGAUGGCAAUGGAUUAUGAUUCGCAUUUAUACUUCUGCUUCAUCCCCAUCUCCCAGAAAGUCAAGAGGAAGUUUUCCUGCGUUGUCUGCUCCAGACGACUGGUUCUUGCUCAAUGAUCUUUAUUCUCACCACACAGUCUUGAAUAUAUCAUCAUAUCCAAUGCGUGGCAAGCUCUCUGUAUCUCAAUGUGAUCAGGGUCGUGCUAGCUACUGUGCUUUGAUGUCUGAUGAAAAUAAUAUACAUCUGUGAUUUGCAGACAGCAUAUUUAUGUCAUGUAAUAUUGUUUAUAGUGAUUCCCAGGUAGCUGUAAUGCUUGUUAUGGUAUAUGAAAAUCAAUUGGCUUCGUCAUCAAUGUCACAGUGUUCCCCUGCAUUCAAGCGCAGCUCAUCUUCACAUUUUUAUAAUGUUAAGGUUGGGAUAUGAAUUAAUUUAUAACCACCGCUUUUAUAAUCCAUGCGUUCUGGAGAGUUGAGGAAUUUUUCGCCAAUUUAGCUCCCAGUUUAUUGUCUUUUCUUAGGCUUUAUAUCAAGUAGUGUUUGGUAUUAUAUUAGACAGAUUUCUCUCAAGAAUUUACACAUGGUUUUUUGACACAACCAUAAUGGAAGUUAGAUCAUGUAGUUUCUCGCAGUUGAGAACUUUGAUUUUGAACUAAAAGAUGCUUAGCUGAACUCUGCGUUACGUUGCUUAGCCCCUUGGGAACAAAAACAUGAGUCAUAGAAACCCUUUUACUUCAGAGACAAAAAGUUGUUGUAUGUGCUUAAUUUAAUACCAUAUUUAUUUUUGUAUUUUAAAAAUGUUUUUGAAAAAAAUUAAUUUUUUUAUUUUAUUUUAUUUUAAAUUAUUUUUUUGUUUUUUUAUAUUGUUUUAAAGUGUUGAUGUCAAAAAUAAUUUUAAAAAAAUAAAAAUAUUAUUUUUAUGUAUUUUCAAGUAAAAAAUAUUUUAAAAAAUAACCGCUACCAUGUUCUCAAACAUUAUAUAAGACAAACAAGAUUAUAUUUGCGGUGCAUCUCAUGUUUCUAAAUAAAAACACAUUUUUUUGUUUUUAUUUAUUUUUUAUUUGAUGAUGAGGUUAUUUUGAAAUUUUGUUUCAAACGAUAUUUUUUAAAUUUUAAUUUUUAAAAAAUAUAUUUUUUAUAUUUUUAUGUUUUUAAUAUGCUAUUCAAAAUAUUUUUAAAAAAAAAAAAAUAUAUUAUCUUAAUAUAUUUUUAAAUAAAAAAUAUUUUUAAAAAACAACUAUUAUUAUAUUUUAAAAAACCUACACCAUAAUUUUUAAAUAGUUAUGAGUAGUUUAAAGUUUAAACAACUCAAUACCAUUAUCUAAACUAAAAAGUACAAAAGAGGAUGAUAACUUCGCAUGCCAUCCUUCCAUAAAUUUCCACCCCACAUUCCAGUCAUGAAAAGGAAUGGGUGCACAAAGAAUCGUGCGUUGAGUGCAUCGCCCUCGUAUACCUCAUAUGGCUUGGAAAGAAAUGACUUAUAGUUAAAUACUACUCGCAUUUAUUAAUUGACGAUGAUAAAAAAAAAAAUGAAAAAAAAACGGUUUCAAUACAUAAAUAUGCACAAUAUAAGGGGAAAUAUCAAAUAAAUAAAUAAAACAUAACCAGAGAAAAAAAUAUACAAAAAGACCAGCGAAUCAAAUAAUAAAAAGAUAUGUGAAAAUCUAGAAAAUAAUAUGAUAUAAUUUUUUUUUAAAUUUAAAAUUUAAAUUGAAAAUAGGUUUAGACACUUGAGAAAUAAAAUCCAUGCCUUCAAAUAUAGUUGGAAAUACAUUGAUUAAGAUUAUUCUUAAAUAAAAUUAAUCUCAUUUAAUGAAAAAAAAAUGUCUCUAAUUAUAUCGUAUUAUCGAAAAAAAAAAAACGAUGGAGCACUGAUAAUCUUGAAUGUAAACGGGGAUCUUACCCAUAUAAAUGAAAGGGGUAUGGAAUAUGAAAAGGGAGCUAAAGAAUGAGAAAUUCUCUAUAUUUUUUAUUUUUUUUUGGAUAUUUAAAUGGGUCAUAGCCCAAAUCUACGUUUGGGCCUUCUUCCACUCUCAUAACUUGAAAUAUAAUUCUCCCAUAUAUUAACGGCCUAGAUCACUUAUCCCUUAAAAAGCUCUUCACAACCGUCAGGUCCAAAAAAUCCAAAAUUUAUCAAAAAAUACAGUACAAACACAGUCCAAACAAGCUCUAAAUAAUUGUUGGGCUUUGUUGCUUCAAAAGCAAUUUUCAUUAAAAAUAAAUUAUGUUUUUGUAUUCAACCACGCAAGCAAACAAACGGUUGCUUACAUUUCCUCUUAUCUACAUCUCCCUCAUACUUCCAUUGGAAUGGUCUGUUGGGAAACAGAAAUAAAUUACGUAUUUUAUACUAUGUUCUUUUGUCAGGUGGAGAGCUUGAGUUAUUGCUCAAGUAGCGCUUAGUUUCUCUAGCUCUUUCAUUCACCUGUAAUAACGGGUGAACUCAUGUGAGAAAUGAGUGAUACCAAUGGGAUGGAUUUUUAGCAUGUUGAUGCUCAUAAUCAAUAUCUGUAAUUUGUUUAUUAUUCAUCAAAAAAAAUAUAUCAUCUAUCUAAAUUCUAUCAAUUAUUAAAAUCAGAUGAUAUAUAUUGCAGAUAUAUAAAUUAUUUUAUAUUAAACAAUUAAUAGUGUGUACGAUUUUAAUAUUAUACACGGAUAAUAUUUGCAGUGUCACUGUUCAACACCUUUUAUAUAUGCGUGGUUGGAUUUUGAAUCGGAUUGGUAAUCCUCAUGCUAUAUAUAACUCGUUUGCCAUUCGAGUUUGUAUAGAUUAGAAUCUAUCGGGUUGGAUUUUAAAAUGCUCUCCCGUGAAAUUUGAUUCGGUGGACAUCCAGGAAUCGAGGCCUGCAUAACUGUCGUCCAAUGUUAGAGGGGAUAUCAAGAUUUUCGAAACAUUUUCAAGAGCAUUAAAAAUGAAGUGUGUGAAAUCCAGCUCAUUAUCGUGCAGUGGACGUGGUUUCCAAACCUGAAACCACUCGAGUGUCGAAAAUCUUGAUAUCACCAAACUCAAUCUUGGUCGAAUGUUCUUGCAAUCCACCGAUUCUUGUCCGUUACACAUGGAUUUCCCUUCGAAUUUUAUAAUGAAAUAGCUGGUCGGCAUGGUUGCACCAACCUUGACAUUUAAAGGCGAUGGAUACAGAUUUUCACAGUGGCUUGCAAGUCAUUGACCUCCAAGUCGUGAUUCACGCAGUUGUGAACCUUAAAUACAUGGCGUGUGGUGCUUUCCAUCCAGCUUAGACAAUAAGUUUGCAGUCUUAACUAACAUUUAUGUCUUUAUCGUGACUUUAAAUGUUGACGUCGCUCUCCAUAGCUACAUAUAGCAAUGUUAAUUUAAGAAGACUUAAAACCAUUUAGGAGGUGGUCAGUAUAAGAGUUUGGGACUAAAAAAUUUAUUUUUUUUGUUGUCUCGAGUUCGAGCCUUGUGAUUACUCAUAUGAUGGCUACUGUUGACUUAUAUAGUUAUUAAUUUUAAGACUCGUAUGAUUAAUUGAGAUGCGUGCAAACUGAUCUGGACAUCCAUGUUAAUCAAACAAACAAAAAUUAAGAAGACUUAAGACUCGUGGGGAUUUCUUUUUUCUUUUGUCACGAAAGGAGCAGAAAAUGCACUAAAGAAACUGGUCGUAUUGCUCCACUACCGUUUUGUAUUGCCAUCGUAUUCAUUUGUCUACCAUCUUGUUUGCUCUCAACCACCCAUCUUGGACAACUUGUAACACUUGAUAUGCUUUGUUUCCAAGUAGCCCAUUAGCUUCCUUUUCACAGUUAUUUACUUUAUCUUUCUAGGGUCGCACAAUCAUGUUCCCCUGUGCUUUGCUGGGGAUUGAAUUUUUUUUUUUUUUCCAUUUAAAAAAUAUUAAAAAUAUAGAGAUAUUUUGAUAACAUCAUUAAAUCUAAUCAAGCAAGCAAUUUUAAAACCUGUUAAUUCGGCUCUCAACCUUGAGUCAUGAAUUAAAUUAUACAGAAGCUAUUAGAUGCUUUCAAAAUCCAUCAUUAAUAUUUUAAAAAUAUUUAUUUAAAAUCAUGAUAACUAUAUAAAAAAUAUAAAAUAAAAAUAAAUUAUAAAUUUUAUUUAUCAACUAAUUCAAUAUUAAAUAAGAGUGAAAUAAAAAAUAAUAAUAUAUAAGAAAAAUUAAAGAGCCGGAAACUAAAAAAAACUAUUAGUUUUAAUGGGUAAACCCAUCAAAAUAGUGAAUUGGAUAACUUGGGUCAAGGUUAUCGAGAUUUAUUUUUCAAACUAUAAUAACCUCAUACAAAGCAUAACGAAAUAAAUUAUGAAACUUAAUUCUCAAACAGUUCAAUAUCAAAUGAUGAAAUAAAAAAAUAAAAUUAAACUUAAAAUUAAACUUGUCAUACUCAUAAACAAGGUCAUGAACUUUCUAGAAUUUAAUAAAAUGUUUUUUUUCAAAAUUAUUUUUUUAACUAUAUGAUACAAAAAAUAGACAACCACACAAUAGAAUUCAUUUUUUUAAAAAAAUACCAUGCUAAAACCGUAACUAGGAUAACUAGAGUUACCCUGCAAACCGGGUCAUUGAUUCCACAGAGUUUAUAAAUCUAGUUUUUUUAAAUAAUUUUUUAUUUAACUAAUUUUUUUUUUAAAAUAAAACAUGCCGCGAUGCAGUGAUAUUUUUCUGAUACCAACCUGAUACUAGAAUAUUUUAUUGAUACUACAAUAACCAUAUAAAAAAUAAAUUAUCAACUCUAAAUUUUUUCAAACACAUUAUAUAAUUAAAAAAAAUCAAUAACGAGAGAGGAAAAAAAAGGAGUCAAAAUGCCAAAAAAAAAAAACUUUGAAUUUUUAUUGUAAUCCAAUAGGCGUAGAGAAAUAGUGAUUUCUCUCGCAUCUUCAAGCUUUAUUUAUCAUAAUAAUAAUAAUAAUAAUAAUAAUGUGUACUCGAGCAUGUUUUCAAGAUAUUUGUCUACUUUUACAAAAGUUUUCUGUUUUUUUCUCCCGUGUUGCAUUCAAGGACUGCUCUGCAUGCCCCACUCGUUCCCCGAUCACGCUUUGGAACUAAAAGUCCAUGUCCUUCAUAGUUAAAGUUCAAUAUUUUUUAAAAAAAAAAAAAGUUCAAUAAAUUUUAAUUAAUUUUAAAAUUUAUAAAAUUAAUUAAAAUGUAUAAAAGCUUAUCGGAAUAUUUAUAUUAAUAAAAAAACUAAAAAUGAUACAUAUAUAUUGUAACAUGAUUGUUAGGUGGUUUCUUGAAUUGCACGUAGUCGCUUUUUUUAUUUAAAGAGUGUUUAGAGUGUGGUUGUUGUUAUUUUUUAAAGUGUUUUUUACUUAAAAAAACAUGUCAAUAAUAUUUUUUUAUUUUUUAAAAUUAUUUUUGAGAUCAGCACAUCAAAAUAAUUUGAAAAUAUCAAAAACAUAUUAAUUUAAAACAAAAAAAAAUUUUAAUUUUUUAAAAAACAUUUUUAAACCACAAUACCAAGCGCGCUUUAGUCUAAUUCAAGUUAUUAAAAAUUCAAAAAAAAUUUAUUUAUUUUUUGUUAAAAUUGAGUGCGAUUUGUAUUUUUUGGAUCGUUUUGAUGUGCUGAUAUCAAAAAUGAUUUUAAAAAAAUGAAAAAACAUUAUUGGCAUGCUUUUCAGCACGAAAAACUAUUUAAAAAGCAACCGCUACCACACUCUCAAACACAAACUUGUUUUCAGACUUUCAGUUGAUUCAAGAAUCUAUAUUGUAUGGCUGGAUCUAAGCUUGACUUGAAGUUGAAUAAAAUAAUGUAUUAGUCCGAUGACCUGCUGAGUUU
Molecule: long non-coding RNA, 10730 nt
Filed under: Populus tremula
Lineage: Eukaryota; Viridiplantae; Streptophyta; Magnoliopsida; Malpighiales; Salicaceae
Description: long non-coding RNA (PTRE_LNC002718)
Source: RNAcentral